GCGGGUGUGGUGAAAUUGGUAGACACGCCAGAUUUAGGAUCUGGUGCUUCGGCGUGUGGGUUCGAGUCCCUCCACCCGCA
RNAcentral lists this transfer RNA (80 nucleotides) under Flavobacteriales bacterium. Its description in RNAcentral is "tRNA-Leu". It matches the Rfam family "tRNA". From Rfam's summary of the family: Transfer RNA (tRNA) molecules are approximately 80 nucleotides in length. Their secondary structure includes four short double-helical elements and three loops (D, anti-codon, and T loops). Lineage: Bacteria; Pseudomonadati; Bacteroidota; Flavobacteriia; Flavobacteriales. RNAcentral also lists the same sequence under 1 other name. The record is from RNAcentral.